GGGCAUGUAGCUCAGCUGGUUAGAGCGUGGCUCUUAUAAAGCCAAGGUAGAUGGUUCGAGUCCAUCCAUGCCCA
This 74-nucleotide transfer RNA is filed under the name bacterium. Its description in RNAcentral is "tRNA-Ile". It matches the Rfam family "tRNA". From Rfam's summary of the family: Transfer RNA (tRNA) molecules are approximately 80 nucleotides in length. Their secondary structure includes four short double-helical elements and three loops (D, anti-codon, and T loops). The record is from RNAcentral.